RNAcentral lists this ribosomal RNA (446 nucleotides) under uncultured bacterium. RNAcentral describes it as "partial 16S ribosomal RNA". It matches the Rfam family "Bacterial small subunit ribosomal RNA", at positions 338 to 795 of the family's 1533-position model. The record is from RNAcentral.
CCUACGGGUGGCAGCAGUCGAGAAUCAUUCACAAUGGGGGAAACCCUGAUGGUGCGACGCCGCGUGGGGGAAUGAAGGUCUUCGGAUUGUAAACCCCUGUCAUGUGGGAGCAAAUUAAAAAGAUAGUACCACAAGAGGAAGAUACGGCUAACUCUGUGCCAGCAGCCGCGGUAAUACAGAGGUCUCAAGCGUUGUUCGGAAUCACUGGGCGUAAAGCGUGCGUAGGCUGUUUCGUAAGUCGUGUGUGAAAGGCGCGGGCUCAACCCGCGGACGGCACAUGAUACUGCGAGACUAGAGUAAGGGAGGGGUAACCGGAAUUCUCGGUGUAGCAGUGAAAUGCGUAGAUAUCGAGAGGAACACUCGUGGCGAAGGCGGGUUCCUGGACAUUAACUGACGCUGAGGCACGAAGGCCAGGGGAGCGAAAGGGAUUAGAUACCCCAGUAGUC